Molecule: long non-coding RNA, 1930 nt
Organism: Drosophila mojavensis
Lineage: Eukaryota; Metazoa; Arthropoda; Insecta; Diptera; Drosophilidae
Exons: 2
Source: RefSeq, a predicted model, not a curated record
GAUUUAUGGCGCUUGUCUGCCCAUCAGCAGGCAACUAAAUAACUAACGAGAGGCAUUGGCCAAAUACCCAAUGUGCAGCAACAAAAAUGCAUCCAUUUACAGGAAAUCAGCAAACACAAACACACACACAGUCCGCUCACGCGGGCGAAUUUUACAGUCAAUAAUUCCGCUUAAAUACAUCGCUUAAAUUAUGCAGCACUUGGCUGGCCCCAACUACCGGAGCCCCCAAACAGCAAAUAACAAUAAAGCUAACUAACCAAAAAACAAAAACCAAAAAAAAAAAAAAAAAACAAAGAGGAAAAUUUACACGUUCAUGUUCCACCCUCGAUGCAUGGGAAAAUGACUUUUCAUUUUUUUUUUCCAUAUUUGCCAAAUUUUCAAUUUUAUAUCUAUUUCUUUUUUUUAAAUUUAUUUUUUUUUGUUUUGCUUAUGACUCUCGAAGGACUCGAAGCUGAAAUGUUUAAAGAGCGCCAUGGGAAUGCUACAGAGAGUUCUGGGCCAAUUGGGGGGACGGAAAAAAAAACUACUCUAUGUGAAAAUUGUGCUGAUCUGUGAGUAAGCGAGCGAGCGGGGGCGAGCUGCGUGCAUGGGUCGAGCAAAUAUUACCCUUGCAUUUUUCAUAUAUAAUUCGAAGCGGCGUCUUUUUUUUUUAUUUUUUUUUAUUCGCCCGAGCAAACAUUUUGCAAUCAAACAAACUGCGAGCGGGGGGAGGGGAAGGGGGGGGUUAGGGUUUGUUGGUCCCGGCUGCAAAUCUAUAUAAUAAUUUCGCGUGUGCUUGAUUUUCACGGCACUUGAAACACUCAAGUGCAGCCAAAGUCGAGGGGUUUAGCAGGCAGCCGGCAUUUUAUGCGCCUCGUAUAUUAAAACCCAUAAUUUGGCUUAAUAGUUUUUGCAAUUACCCGAAGGGUUGUGCGUACAGCGACAGCCCUAACCCUUUUUUUUAUGUGUGCCCGAACGAAGCAGGAAGCGCAGCAAUUCGCAAAGCAGCAGCAGCAGCAACAGCAACAGCCAUGGCAGGAAGUUGGCCGGGCGAUGGCUGGAGGAUGUGGAAGUGCGGCCUGUUUAUGCGUGAAAUGCGCCGCCUCGCAGCAUUUGUCAUGUGUGUGCUGGGCGGGCGAGGGGGGCUCAAGGGGUACUGAAGGGCGUUGUCAAUUAUGAAUUUAUUAGAGACUACAAUUGUGCCUAGCUAUGCACGGAUGUGUGUGUGUGUGUGUGUGUGUGUGAGUCUUAGACUGGGUAAUUAUGGGUUGAGAAUCAGUAACAGCUGGCAUCAAAUAUAGAUAUCAAGAUUUCUGGCUAUGGCAGCAGCUGAGGAUAGUCCCAGACAAAGAGAAGUUAAGUGAGAUAAUUGACGGAAAUGUUUUUAAAUCGUGAAUAUUAACACAUUUGAAAAUUAAAUCGUUAAUAUUUAAAAGCUUUAAUACAUUUUUCGUAAAUAAAUUCUGAAAUUUGUACAAUUUAUUUAUCCAUAUUCGACGGACCCAUCUGGCAACGCCGUAUCUUUUGACAGAGACGUCACAUCAAACAACCCUGUAUUUACUUUGAUUUGUGUUAAAUUUUAAAUAUACAUACAUAUUUACUUUAUUCAUAGUUCAUAUUCCAGCUCACUAAGAAAGUUUCUAACUGUUAUUUUUAGUUUAAAUAUUUAACUAAAAAUCACUUGAUUCCAUUUGUUAACAUCAUUUCCAUUCUUAAUGCACUUCAAAAAUUUAAUCUGCUCACAAAGUUUUGAUAAACGAUAAAGAACAUGCCUGAACUACAACUAAGUGGCUGCAGUCAAAUGGAAAAUCCUCGUACUCGCAUUUACAGUUGUAAAUGUGAAUGGAAAUUGAAACACAUUAAUAAUAAAUUAAGCAAAACCAAUUUAAUUUCCAGCCAUGUGGCUUAAGCAAUAAAUUAAAGAGCAAAGUAGCAGCAUUUAAUAAUACAA